GUGGGCCCUAUGUUAACCACACACUGUCUCCUUAAGCCUGCCUAUAAAAUCUGGUGCUGUCUGCUGCAGGCUGGAUUUUUCCUUUUGGGAGCCCCUCUCUCUCACACAGGGAGAGAGCUGUUCUCCUUUCUCUUUCUUCUUCCUAUUAAACCUCCACGCCUAAACUCAGUCCUCUUGGGUGUCUAUGUCCUUAAUUUUCUUAGCGAGAGACUACAAACCCGGGGUAUUUACCCCAGACAACUACCCCGCUUCAUAUUGGGAAUCUCAGCCAGGAUCCCAAGGUACAUUCAUCGGAACGGUGAGUAAAGGAGCAGACCCCAACUCUGUCCUUUCCUUUUGGUGUGUUGUUGUAAUCUUCAAGAGUAGCAAAUUUACGUGGUCAUAUUCUUGGCUUCUCUGCUUAAAGAAUACAACAUCCGACUGGGUGAUUUUAGCCUACUUAUAAACCACGGUUUAUGGAGAUGAAUUUGUUCUUUCAAGCUGCUUUGGUUUUGAAUGCAUUCUGAGGAAAGAAAAGCUAAGAGUUUCUGCUGUAAAUAGAUCAGGCCACUGGUAACCUGGAACAGCUCACUGUGUUCUAGAACUAUGUUCUGUUUCCUCUUGAGACUAUCAUUGGAAAAUUGGCCCAUCUCACUUCAAACAUAUAAAUAAUUCAUACAAGUUGUCAAAAACAUUUUGGACCUAAAUUUAAAAUCAACAUUGUCCUCCCUAAAAUAAAGUCCACAUUGUCUCCCUCAAAAAUAGAGUAUAAAACAAAUCCAGAAUUAAACAGAAGAUAAAUUCCUAUAAGUUAUAAGCAAAUAUUUAAAUAAAUUUUGAUAAGUAUUUUUAAAUAGUAAACUAUAGUCAUCUGUAAAUAUUCAGCUUAAUUAAGUCUUUUUCUCCUAACAUCUUAAUAAAAAUGUGGAAAUCUGUAGAAGCCCAUAGCCCGAGGGAACCAGUGUUAUGCAUUACAGUCAAAAGAAAAAUGAAGAUUUCUAGUUGGUUAUUUUCCAAUUAGCUUUAUAUCUGUUUCCCCAAACAAACACAACAUAGUUUCUUGGUAAUGUUUUCUACAAAUAAAUUCUUCUCACCUUGCUACUCAAUUAUUUUAUUCACUUUGCCCUAUUCUUACCCAUUUAAUUAAUCAUGAUGUGUUUUGAAUUCUGAAAUUUACCUUUUCUUGAUUGAAAGGAAAAAUAAAACUGAAGAAGCAGACUUAGAUGAACCAAGUGACCAUGUUUUACUAAUGUAGGUUAUUUGUUGGAAUUCAAAUACACAUUCUUUUUUUUUUUUUUUUUUUUUUUCUUUGAGACAGAGUCUCGCUGUGUCACCCAGGCUGGAGUGCAGUGGCGCCAUCUCGGCUCACUGCAAGCUCCGCCUCCCGGGUUCAGGCCAUUCUCCUGCCUCAGCCUCCCAAGUAGCUGGGACAAGAGGCCCCCGCCAACACGCCCGGCUGAAGUUUUUUUGUAUUUUUUGUAGAGAUAGGAUUUCACUGUGUUAGCCAGGAUGGUCUCGAUCUCCUGACCUCGUUAUCCACCCACCUGAACCUCCCAAAGUGCUGGGAUUACAGGCUUGAGCCACCGUGCCUGGCCUCAAAUACACAUUCUUAAGCUUCCACCACUAUGUUCGAAACAUGUAACCAAAGUAUCAAUUCUCAUGGUCUCAGAGUAGACUAUAUGUGGACUUAUUCUUUGAAUGAGACAAAAUCUUAAAUUACUCUCACCAGUAGAAGAGAAAUACUGUGCAAUGAUAUAGGGAGAAUUUGACUUGGAAAUUAGAACUUAUGAGUCUCAACUCAGCUGUAUUCUUAAUGUUGUAUGUCAUUUAUGGAUAGAAUACAAAUAAAUGUGAAUAAGGUACAAAACUUCCAUGAGCCAGUGUCCUCAGAAGUAAAAUAAAGAAGCCAAUAUUUAGAAAAAUGUAAAUUAUAUAAUAAUUAAAUUCUAUAUACCACAAAUUUCCAUAGAAAAUAUAUAACUAAGAGACAAUCACCAUGGUGGUAUGAAGUAUUUUUUAAAGCAAAAAUCACUAACUUUUCACAUGUUAGUACAUAACAGAAUCCUAGUUUGUGAGACUAAAAUAAUCCGAUUAUUAUUUCUGCCUAAUAUGUCAUAUUUCAAUAGGACCAAAGGUUAAUUAUUAGGGGAAAUGACUAUGUCAUUCUUGGACCCUUCUGUAUAAAACAUAGUAAAGAUUGUGUAGCAUUGUUUUGCUAAUUUUGAUAUUUGGGGAUUUUUUUUUUCAUUUUUACUUAAUAAUAUUUAAACCUGAGUGCCAUUCACUUGAUACUGGUUUUGAAGUUCUGUCUUAGUUUGGGUUUCACAGAAGCCAAUCAUGAUAUAAGCACCAAUGAAGUAGUAGAGAAAGUAAGAACAGAGAAGAAAGGCCAAUUUAAUGUUAAUUAAGAGGAUUGAGCAACUGGAUUCAAGUGUGUGAGGAAACUGAAUACUACACAGAAACACUUCAAAAUUGUCCUUGAGAAUGGAGAAGGAAGGAUAUUUAUACACCAAUCCCUUCCCUCAUUAGUUGAGGGAAGUUCUAGCCAAAUUUCUAUCCAGGAAAAGAAGGAGAGAAAAUAAAUAGGAUCAAUGUGACAAAUGACAGAGGAGUUAUAAUAUAUCCUAAAUAUAUUAUCAGUAUAAUAAUAAAGGAUUACAUACAACUUCAUGCCAAUUAUUUGGCAACUUAGAUGAAACAGACAAACUACUUGAAAGACACUAGCUACCCAGCCUCACAUAAGUAAAAAUAGAAGUAAAAAAAAAUAUUGAACACUUACAGUGUUCAGGAGUCAUUGUGGAGGUGAGGAAAGAUAAAGGAGAAUAUUCAACAAGACAGAACAAGAAUAUGUCAGAGAAAUAAAAAAGGUCUUGAAAGAUGCAAAAUCACAAAAGACGAAAGAAAAGAAUAUUUCACAAUAUGACAAAAUAUUUUGAAAUGUUUAUUGAUAAUAGGGUUGCGCAAGUUAUGGCUGACCUACAAGAGAAUGGUUUUAGUAGAAUAAUAGGAGUAGAUGCCAAAUUACAACAACUCAGAGAAUAUGUAAAUAGUUGGAUAGUUGAAGAAACUAUAUAUAAAGUACCACUUCAAGAAGCGUGUUUACUGAGACCAGGUACAUCCAUGGUCAUCUAAAAUGUUUGUUCGCAUAUUUUCUACUCCUUUAACACAUAUGGUACUCAGCUAUUUAGAGGUGUGAAACUUCACGCUUAGCUUUUGGACUUUCACAGUUCUUUGCCUACUUUAUCCUUCUGGGUUCACUCGACUUUUCCAAUUUCCCAGUCUCAGUGAACCCAUGCACAUACAAACACAUACUCAUUCUUGAGAAAUUCUGUCUGUUUCUUAUGAACAACCUGAGUGGGUUUCUGAGAACCACAUCAGCACUUAAGACAUUACAUUGUAUGUAUUUGUUUAAAUGUAUGCCUCUGUGAGAUUCUAAAGGCAAAAAUAAUGUUUCAUUCUUUGCUGAUUCAACCAAACACCACAUGUUCUCACUCACAGGUGGGAAUUGAACAAUGAGAACACUUGGACAUAGGGUGGGGAACAUCACAAACCGGGCCUGUCAUGGGGUGGGAGAAGGAGGGAGGGAUAGCAUUGGGAGAUACACCUAAUGUAAAUGACAAGUUAAUGGGUACAGCACACUAACAUGGCACAUGUAUACAUAUGUAACAAACCUGGACGUUGUGCACAUGUACCCUAGAACUUAAAGUAUAAUAAUAAUAAUAAUAAUAAUAAUAAAUAAAAAUAAUUUUAAAAAAAGGAAAAAAAAGAAAAGAAAAACUUUCUGUGGUCCCCAGGGAUUGCAACUUUUUGUAAUCCAUUGUAGAUUGUCCUCUUACCUACAAACAUCUCACUUCUUUUCUUAUUUCUUUGGCACUGGGAGUAAAUUCUAACACCCCGCUAUUUCUUCAACUAAAAGCAAUUACAAUGCCCCUCCUGAAAAGGCAACCUAUCUUUGACUCUCUAACUUAGCCAGACUAGAUUUGUUUUAAUUUUUUAUGUUGUCAUGACAACUUACUCCAAACACACUCAAAUGGGCCAUAAAUUAUUUUAAUUCCCAGACUGCACAAUUCCUAUUUUCUCUUCUUGCAACAUUUCUUUCAUACUUUCCACUCAUCCUUCCUUUACUUAGCUUAUUAAUGGGAUAUACACUUUCUUGUAAGUAGAGAUCAACUGUGAAAUCAGGUUAUUAUUCUUACUAGUCAAGAUAUAGGAACAAUAUGUGUUCCCUGACAAAUAAGUGGAUAAAGAAACUGUGGUGCAUAUAUACAAUGGAAUAUUUUUCAGCCUUAAAAGAAGAAGAGAACUAUACUGCCAUUUGCAACAACAUGGAUGAGCCUAGAGGACAUUAGACUAAGUGAAAUAAGCCAGAAACACAAAGACACAUACUGUGUUAUCUCACUUAUAUGUGGACAGUCUGAAUAUGCAUUUAGGUAGGACAAAUAAGUCUAGAGAUAUAAUGUAUAGCAUAAGGCCUAUGGUUAAUAAUAUUGUGUUGUAUAUAAAAAUUUGCUAAAUGAGUAGAAGUUAGGUAUUCUUAUCAAAAAUGAUUACUAUGAAAGGUGAUGAAUAUUGCUAAUUUGACUGUAUUAAUCAUUUGACUAUUAAUGUGUAUGUCAGAAGAUUAUAUUAUACAUUUUAAGUGUGUACAAAAAAAAUGAAGUUAAAAAAGUGAAAUUGAGUUAAUGAUAUUGAAAAUUAUCUUACCAGUUCAGAGUUUGUAGGUAAACUCUUGUCCAUGAGGCCAUCUGUAGGUGUAUAUUCCUGACUUGUAGAGCUCUCAAUACUAGAGCAUUGCAUUAGAAUGGAAAAGGAAGGGAGUCAGUCUACCUCCUUUUACCUACAUAUCAUAAGCACAUUUUCCCUCCUAUUCUAUUCAUAAGAGCUUAGUCUAUUGGUUACAUCUGGCUGCAAAUGAUACUGGAAAAUAGCAUUCAUUCUUGGCAACCAGCUAAUAUUCAAGGUUCUCUUACUAUAAACAAAAAUAGGAGAAAACAUUGGGGCUACAACCUGCUGUCUCUGCUACAGUCUACCCUUGAAUAUUCAAAUACCCAAGUUCAAGCUUUUAUGCAAAAACAGAACACACUCAUCCUCUCUAAACUGAACCUUACCAAAGAGAGGACCAGCCAAGCCUGCUCAGAGACUACACCUACCUUGAACUUCAAGGUGACGCACAGUCCUAGCCCUCAGGUGUAGAUGUGGCUCUCAUUAACUGGAAAAUUAUAAAAUGAGAGCAAUUUGUCUCUCACCAUAUUAAGGUAUAAUCAUAUACAGUAGGAAUAAGAUUAGCAGAAUAAUAAUUCACAUUCGGAAAGAGGAAAAUGACAAAUACAGAAAGAACUGAUCAAAAAGGAAAGAUAAAAUCCUAUCAUAUGGUGACUAAGAAAACUCCUGUUCUGAGAACCGAAUGAGGUCUUUGGUAAAAUGAUCUGGUAGCUUCUGGUUCAGCUCUUCAAGAGGAAUGGAAAUCUCUACCUUUUUUUUCCCCCCAAAUCCCCGAUGUUUUGACUUCUGAGGGAUUUUCCCCUACUUUUUAUCCUCAGUGGAUAUAGCAGAAGUUGACAUUUCACUAUGUGCCCUGCAUAGGCCUGCACAUUUUUCUCAGACUGACUCAUAUUGGAGCAAAUUGGAGUCCAAGGGGGAGCUUUAAGUUUAAGUUGUCAUAGUCUUUUACAGGCCAGGCUUGUGAUUUCUUCAAGUACUCUUUGAAAGAUCUUUUUUCUUCCUCAGGUCCAUGUGCAGGCACCAACAGUCAAAGAUCACCUCCAGAAAUAUUUUUUGAGCCUGAAGGGCAUGUUUCUUUACUUACUGGCCUCCAUGUUCUGCUUAUUUCUCUUUCAAGGAACUGAUGGUACCAUGAGGCCAUUUAAAGCAAUAACUUUAAUUGGAAAAGCAACACCUUAAUUAGAUUUUUUGUCAAUGGCCUGGUUCUCAUGGACAGGCAGAUAAUCAUAGUAGGAGAUGCUUGAAAUGGUUUGGGUAACAGGUUUCUCUCUUUUUACAGCCGUCCUGUUGCAAACAACUGCAUUCAUUUCAGAACUGCGAGUAGUUGGUUUUGUCAAUACUGUCAAUGUGGUAUUUUCACAUUACCAGGUUCUAAGUUUACUUAGACAUAUCAAGUUCAAGAAGUGCUUGAAUUUAUGUUAAUUGAUUUCCACAUACUUCAGUUACACAUUUUCUAACAGCAUUAGCCAGACAGAGAUAAAUUGGAUACAUUGGAAUAAAUAUAGAUGCAUUUUCUGCAGGCUAUUUUUCUAAUAUAAUAGCAAUUUAACAGUUUGAAGUGUCAUUAUCAAAUGUGUAGUUUAACUCAUACAUUUUACAAAUGCACAAACUAGGCCAAAUCCAGUUUCAAACUAAGAUAUUUUAUUCCAUAAACAAUGCAAUAUCUAUCAAAAAGCACCAUUGCACAAUUGUUUGCGUAAAUAAAACUGUCUUUGAACUUGAUAUGUUUUGAAAGUGGCCAUACAUUUUUGUAUUCUGAUUUGUUUUUCUGGCAUAUAGAACCUUUGAAUCUUUAGAAUUAAAUAUAAUGAAAAAAAGAAAAGUGAUGAAAGGUUGAGGACUGUAUUUUUAUUAUCAAUUUUUAUUGCACUGAUAAAAAAUGAAAAAGAAGAUUAAAAACUGAUUUAAAAAUUAAUCCUUAAAUCUCUUCUUCAAGUGAUUUCAGUUUCCAAUUAAUAAGAUGAGAUUUUAAGAUUUCAUAUUACAUACAAUGAGAUUUGUGUUAUUGUCUUGGUUGCUGCAAAUAACCAGGGUUUAGUUUAUUUUAAAAAUAAAAAUAAUCCUUGAAUCUCAUUUUAGUAGGAGAUUUGAUGAGUAGGAAAGAGAAGUCACUAAUCUGCAUAUUACUUACUUGUAGUCAUACUGGCUCUCCCUUGGAAACAAUAUUUAGAUAUAAGAUAGAGAAAAAAAGUGAAUAGUCACAAAUAAAAGACUAUUUGCUAAGUCAGGAAUAAAAUUCUUGGGAACACUGAUAUUUUGGCAAGUUUACCACCUCACUUAAUUAUUUCUCAGAUAACCUUGUGCUGGAUGCCAAAUUGGACCUUUCUAAAAACUGUUUGAGGAAAACUUAAAUUCAAGUUUAAAACGUGUAGGAAAUAAAAAUGUCUGCACAGCAUUUCUUUUGGAUGUUAUUCGUCAGGACCUUUCUCCUUCCAGAUAGUAAAAAACGUCAUUAACCUUUAUAAUAAAUUAUUGUCACAAAUAAAUAUUCUGCCACUUUAUUUGGGGGGAAUUUAUUGAUCGUUUUCCUCCAGAUUUAACACUGUACUAAGGCAAAGAGGUGCAUAACCAGAAGAGUUUGUGACAAAAUUUUACUUUCAGUAAGUUUAAAAUAUGCAUAUGCGGGCAAGAUUCAAGCCUUUCGAGAUUGACUAGCUACCAGUAAUUUUCUAAGUAAAUACAAAGAUGAAAGUAGGGAAUGAGCAAAAGUUUAGUACCAGGUAGAUCUUUGUUUUAUUAUUGAAUCUUUCACAUAUUAGUUGUAUAAUUAUCCACAACUAACUCAAACACUGAAUCUCGGUAUUCUUAUCUGUAAAUUAGGGAUAGUGGUAUCUAACAGUGUUAUUGUAAAAGUAAAGGUAAUAUGUUUAAUAUUUGUUGGUUAGUGAAUAUUCAAUUCAAUUAACACAAGAAGAUAAAGUAUUAUUGCAUAAAUUAGAUGUACGAAACAAUUUAAAAAUGUGAGAAAGUAGUAAAAGUCAUCUUGUGCUAUAAUGCUGUUAUAACCACAUAUAAAACCCAGGGGCAGUUUGGGGGAAUUGUAGCAAACACUAAUGAGGCAUUAGAUACUGUUAUUAUCCCCAUUCCCCAUUUUACAGAUAAGGGAGUUGAGUCACAGAGAGCUUAAUGAUCUGCCUUAAGUUGAGUAGCUAAGAAGUAGAUAGGUUACAUUGUGCCCAGACACAAAGGCAAAGAGUUUAAAUGCUUUAUCCCACUGUCAUCCUGCCUUCUUUGUUUCACAUUUGGUAAGUUGCAAACAAAAACUUAAGCAUUUUAUUCUAAAUGGUGUACAACACAAUUAGCAAAACUAGAAUUAUAUUUUUGAAACUACUGAGGCAUUCAGAAAGGUGGAAAAAAGCAAUCCUACAUAAGAUAUAGGAAAAUGAAACAAAGAAAAUGGCAAAAAAAAAAACUUUAAAAAGAGAAAACACAAAAUAAGAGAACUAUAUUAGUGCAAAACAUGUUGCAUUUAUUAUUUCAUAAAUGCAAACAGUAUGAGUUCAUCUACGAAAAUGAAAAAAACUCUAUAGAAUUGAUUAAAAGAAAAAGCUCAACCAUAUGCUCUGUAUGACUUAAGCACUUUGCUGGAAAUGACUCAGGCAGUUUAAAAGUAAAAGAUUAACAAUUUCAUGAGUUAAAUGCAAGCAAAAGGAAAAUAAUAAUGAGAUUAUUCCAGACAACUCUUCAGUUCUUGACACAUAAAACCAGAAACCUUGAUGAUUCUCAUCAACUGUGAAGAUUGUUUAUUUUCAUUAAUCUAGUUUUUAUCUCCAUAGCAGGGCCAACCAGCUUUUCUCUUCCAUUUUUCUCAUAUCAUGUUGUCACUGACAUCCAGCCAGCUUCCUCAGGCAGAAAUCUGAGGGCCAGUUACUCCAAUGUCUCCUUCACAAACUGCAAAUCGGUGAUUAGGUUCCAUACCUAAAUAUCUCUUAAAUUAAUUAUCUUCACUACAUAUUCACUCUACUAUCAUCCUUCAUUCUCUUAUAAGAAUAAUGCAACAUUUUUUUAAAUUAGCCUUUUUAAUCCUGUCUUGCUUCCGCCAAAGCCAUCCCCUACCCAAUACCUUUAUGUCUUAAUUCAACAACAUAACAAAAACAAAUAAAUCUAAGUUAAGUGCAUAUUGCAUAUUAGGCCUUGUACUGGAGCUAAGAUGAUGAAUAAAUCCUACACAGUCUCUGUCCUCAGAGAAGUUUUAGGCUGCUGGGAAAUAUACACACACACGUACGCUACCACUACCACAUUACUUAAGUUCAUAGUAAGAGCUGACCACGACAACCUAAUGUUUCCUUCAACUUAACCAAACUUCAGAUAGGCUUCUUCUUGCCUAUGAAGCCCUGACCUCCCUCUCACUUCAGCCUCCACAGAAUCCAGAUAGCCUAAUUAGAGAGGUCCAUGACCUCCCUUUCCUUAGAGCACUUACUUAAAGAAAACUUCUAAUUAUAAAUUAGUCUGAUCCUUUGAGAUUUAAAUCUUUUUAAAAGCCUUCUGCCAGUUUCACAACCCAGGAAUGUCUUUCUCAAGUACCUGGGAGCCAAUUUUUUGAAAUAUAAUCAAGGAAGAUAGGGCCUCUAUCUCCCAGUUUCGGUGAAAUGGUAGGAGCUUAAGUUCUCUGGGGACCUUGCUGUAGUUGUAAAACUACCUCCUGCCCUGAAGAUAUGAGAAAGUGUACUUUUCAUUUGGGUAAAGCCGAUUAUCAAACACAGAUGGCCUAAGAUCUCCCUCCCUCAUCCACAUCUUAAAAAUUUCUCUGCCCUUUGUUUAUGUGAAAAUUGAGUUGAGACUGUGCUCUGGUUUCUCUACCCUAUUUCAAUAGCCUUGAAAAAAGUCUUCCUUCAUUGUUUACCUCUAUCCAGUGCAAUUUUUGAUUUGACAAACUUUAGGAAGAGACAACCUGGACUUGCAUUCACCAUCUUCACAUGGAUGGCUUCCUUUCAUCCCCAGUAUCAGUUCAGAUAUCACUUCUUCACAGUGGCUGUAUCUAACCUGUUCUUUUUCUUCAGAGCACUUAUCCUGAGUUGUAAAUACAUAUCAACUUGUCUUUAUUCCUUUAAUUUCCUACAAGCUAAAGUUCAGCAAAGUGUCUGGCUCACACCAAUACUUCAGCUGAAUGAACACACGAACAUGGACAAUCUGGGGCUUUGAGACUAAGACAAGUGAUUAGUAGGAGCUACUCAGGCAAAGGUGUAAGAGAAGAAAUGAGAUUAGAGUCUUGUAAGAAGAGAAAAACAUAUGGAUACACGUCUUAAAGCAAUAAGGAGCUUGAUGCAAUUCAGGAGCUUUGCAAUAAACAAUGCUAGAUGGAGAUUAGGAUAAUAAGGAAAGCUUCAUGAGCUGAGGGUACUGAGAUAAACUGGGGCUACAUUGACCCAGACAAUGUAAGUUAAAAUCAGCUAAACAAAUUUUUCUAGGACAUAAAUCUAUAUGUCUUUUCUCUGCUUUAAAUCAUACAACAGUCUCUCAUUUGCUUCAGAAAGCCAUACUAUAACAUGCAAGAGCCUUCAUAUUCUGCUUUCUGCUUACAAAUCUAGGUUCUUCUUUUACCUUGCUCCUCAUGGAUCCCAAAUUUCAGUUAUACUAAACUGCUUGCAGUUCUCCUACUGUGCCAGGCUUCUUCUAAUUUAGCUUUUGAUGUAUUGCUCUUUCUUUGACUUGACAUUUGGCUAACAUCUAUCUAUAUUUUAGAAUAUAGCUCAACUGCUGAAUAUUCCUGCAAGAUGUCUUCACCACUUUCCACUGCAUUUAGGUUAAAUGAACUUACCCUGUCCUGCUCAGUACUCAUGGGACUGUCUCCAUCAUGUUACUCACCACGUACUUUCAUACGUGUGGUUUAAAGUCUCUCUGCAAACUACCACCUUCUGCCACAACUACACUGUGAACCCUUGACUAGAGGAAGAAAUGUGCACUAAUUGUCUUUGUUUUCCCAGUACAUCCCACCAUGUCUGACAUACAGUAGAUACUGUAAUUAAUAAGUUAGUUUGUUAUUGGAUGAAUGGUUAAGAAAAUAAGUAGCUUCACAAAGGAAUAGGGAAGGACACAUUACCACUGCUUAUACAUUUGAUCCUCUGCUCUGCAAGCAAAAUCAUUUGGCUGAUGUGGGAGUGUGCCCUGCAGUGUGGCAUCCUGUCAAGGAUGGGUUCCCACCCAGCACCCUGAGCUGCGGGGAUAGCCCUCCACCAUCUGCAACCUUGAACUGGAAUAAGCAGGCACACAAGAGAUGACAUUAAUAGAUGAAAGUGAGGCUACUCUUGCCACAUUAUCAGAAAGAAAUUUUGAGCAGCACUGACUUACGAUGGGGAAGGUAAGAAUUUAUUCCAAUUAGUGGUAGCAUUUUAUAACAAUAAAGUUGUGGGGUGUGUAAAACAAAGAAUUUUCUUUGUUCUCUCAAGAAGUUAAUGAAAUAGCCCUACAUGUAAUUCUGUAGAAAUUCUUGUAUAGAUUCCAAUAUUUCAAAAAAGCUAGUUAUGUACUCAACCAUCUUUGACGCAGUGUCUUUGAAAGCCAUCUACUUCUGGAGUAGUCUUUUGCCUUUUGUAAACUAGUUUUUCCUCAAAGGCAUUGUUUGUAUACAAUGCAUCCCUAGGGAGUUUUGUAAGGCAGAGCAUACGCUGAAUCAAUUUUGGACAUUGUCUCUUAUAAAACGAAAACAUGAUUCACUCAGAGACUCUUUACCUAAACAUAAUAAAACUGUAACUUUUACCUAAUUUAUGGGGCAGGGAAAUUAACUGAACUCUCACAAAUUUGUUUUCUAUUGCCCCCACAAAAAAUUACAACAGCAUUCCAUUUCUGGCUGUGACUGAGAAUUUGGUUUAAUUUGAAAAAAAUGGAACCGUAACCCAAAGGCUUUUACCUGUUGUCAAAUUAUUAAAGGCAAGUAAUAACCCAUGCUCCAUUCUUAUCACUAUUAACAUUUUUCCUUGUGAUUAUUCUUUUACUUUCUUUUAAGAUGAGAAAAAAAUAGACUUUUAUUCUUGACUGAAUAGGUAAAAACCAUCAAGAAAUGUCAGAUUUUCCAGAGAAUAAUUUCAACAGAGAAGAUUGCUCUACAUACAAGAAACUGAGGCCAAGAGAGUUGAUUGACUUGCUUAACACUGAAGCAAGCAUAUUAGCAAUUUUAAAUGACAUUUUCCUAUAAUGUUUUAUAUUAUGUAUAAAUAUUCAUAUAAUCAGAAUUCAGUAUAAGGUAUGUAUCUUAAAGAUUAAAAAAAAAAAAAAAAAACCCUGAACUCUAGUCAACCAAAAGUAACAAGAAAAUAUAUUCAUUCAACAUGUAUUUUGUAGCUGAAAUGCUGGAUGUUUUAGCCAGAAGAUAAUGGGGUUAAUUUAAUUUGGAUUCUAAAUGGUAAAUUUUGAGUUUGAAUUUGGAGAAGCAAGUCACUUCAUUUAGAAUUAUGGUAUAAUUGAUUGGUUCCUGAAAAAGAAAUCUUAAUUUAAAAAACAGAGUUUUAGAUCAUAUAGGCCAUCUGUAUAUGUUUUUGAAGUAAAUAUCUGUGAAAUAUUUGACACAUUCUAACAAGAUCCCCUGCAGUCUUUUGAGCCUCUUCCUCCUCCAGCCGUGCCUCUCAUCUUUUAACCUCUAAUGUAUAUACUUAAAUGGAAAAGGAUCAGACAGUCAUGUCUAUGGUCCUAUAAUCUGAAAAAUAAUAAGCAAAUUAUCAAACAAAAUCUUAUGUAGCCUCAAAUACAAAUAUUUAUAAUCACAUGAGAAAUUAACAGUUAUUCGCUAUUGAUUGAAAAUUGACUUAUUAGGUUUUUCUAAUAUGUGUUUUCAUUAACGAGCAGUAGAGACUUUUCCUGGCCGUCUUUUUCCUUAAUGAGAAAGUACACGUCAUAGGAAAUUUUGGGCCCGGUCACAACUUUCUAAGUGAAGUGACUUGCUUCUCCACAAAAAAAUGACCCCUUCUAUAAAAAUGCUCUGAGGAAACUGACACUAUCUGCUGCCUGGUAGUUGCUAAUAAGAAAAAGAAAGGUUUUUGACAAGUCUUCCCCAGUGAUCAUGACUAGAGAUUUAAAAUGAAGCUCCUUACCUUAUAGUAUAAGUUAUAUUUCUUGUGGGAAAAAUAUCAUUGCUAAUACAUUUAUAUCCCUAAAAGUUUGAAGCCAAGAUCGGACUGAUGGAUUGUGGAUUGAGUUCAGCAAAACUUUUUUAGGCUGUUGUGCUUCUGUUUGACUCCCAUUUAUCCUGCCUACCCUAAAAGACAAUUUGGUUUAAAGUAUUUAAGAACAGAAUCUUGUAUUCUGUGACUUUGGCAGAGAAAGGAGAAAGGGGGUUGUACCGCUAGUGUACAUGAGGGUGAGUUCUCAUUAUGUGCAUCUCUGUGUGUAUCCUUCGACUUAUAACUUGAAAAACCUUCUAAGCUUAUGAGCCAGAACUUCUAUUGUCAGAUUUGUAAAACCCUAGCAGGAAGAUCCAAAGUCACAACUAAAGGGAAUUCUAUUCUUUUUCAAAAAAGGUAAAAUCAAGCAGCAAAUUUAAAUGCCAAAGUAAUCUUUCCUCACAAGAACAGUUUAAUAUAUAAGCUCUAUUCUAGGAGAUGGAAUAUUAUUAAUCCAAAAUGCCACCAUUACAUUGCAUCCUUCAAAGAGCAGCCUCAAUUUCAAAAAUAUAGUGUGGGACUCUGUGAAAAAUAUUUCUAGACUCUUAACCCUACAUUAUGAAAUGGAUUUUAAGUAUUUGGAGCCAAGGAGCUCAUUCAGCUAACUCAUCAGUAUGUGUUUCUAUUCCUUAAAUAGUCAUAUUUGAAAUAUCUUUCCCAAAUAUUGGGGAGCAGGUAAAAGGACACUCCCCUAACUAGCAAAAAAGCAUGGGUUUCACCUUGGCUUGGAAGUCUCUGGUCACUUCUGGGUCUGUUGCCAGAGGAGCAUCACCUUUAUAAGCAAAGAGCACCUGUCAGAGACCAAAAGAUGUACAGAUAGAAACCUCUACUUUUUGUACUGGUUCACUCACUAGCUUUUACGUUCAGCUCCUCAUGUUAACUUCCUGCCCAUUUAUUCACGUAAGACUAAGUGGAUUACAUAUGGGAAACUAGACAAAAUAUCUAUGGUGUGUCACAGAGCUGCAAACUCCUAAGAAUGGGAUAUGUGGUUUCUGCUGUGUCUGAUCUCAGUGUUUCCAGAGACUGGUAAUUUCCAGAGAGUUAUCAUGGGAGGUGAGCGCUUUAGAAGAGGCUAGAGCCCGUAAAUCAAUAACCCUUAAUUUCACUCUCCCUGAAAAGUGUCAAGUUGUCUCACAAUCAGAAUCACUUCAAUUCUCUGUAGGCUAUUGCAUACUAAUAAUAACUAAUUAAACACAUAUUUAAAUCAGAAAACCAAAUAACUCAGUAGACAAAGUGUCAAGAGAGGGCAUUUCUCAAUUUUCUAAAGUUCCAUGAACUCUAAUUAAGACCUCUGAAAAUCUAUAUCAUUCUGUAAAUUUACUCUGAAAUUUUAAUGACUUAAACUUUGUGUGGUUAUUCAUUUGCAGAAAAGAAGUACCUAAGAAAAAGAGAGCUUGUGGGUAACCAUCUGAAAUAUUCAUUUCUUAAUAAUCUCCAGUCAAAGCCAAACUUUUUGCCUCUCCAACAAAACAAAAAAUUAACUGAAUGGAAACAGCGUCAAUAUAAAAACACUAUAGUACCCUUUUCUAAAAGAUAGACUAUCAAGGCAUGCAAUGUAAAUGUUCGAAAAUAUUCUCCCAACUCUUACAUUUAAGGAAAAAUAUAAAGCUUAAAUAUUCAGGCUAUGAUUUUAUCUCAAUAUGACCUAAUAUAACCCCAAAAUCAUCAAGAUAGCCCUACAAAGAGGUGAGUUCAACUAAUGUAACACAUUUCACAAUAACAUUAUAAAUGUUCAGUGCAAUAGUUUUGUUGUCAUUAUGUGUUUGAAUUAACUCUUUAAAACUCAGAAAUGUGCUAGUUAAUAUAUUUCUGCUUCUUUAUAUGUAACGAUGUCCCAAGAGCCUGAAAAAAAAUAACAGAGCUUCAGUGGAAGGUCAUCUGACUAUACCUACAGGAAGUAACACAGUGAGCAAACAAAUCUGACUCCUGGUUUAAAAUCUAGGGUGGAUCACUUUGGAUUUGUAAAUACUAAGCUCUCACAACCCUGAACUUCACUGUCUGAUCCAGCACCAAAACUUAUUUCCAAGUUCCCAAGAAAGCCAGAGGUAAUUUGACCCAUUCACAGAGAGGAUUACCAACACAGUGCAAACACUGAAAAAUUUGCAUGAACAAGUACAGUAAAUAAUAUUGCCUCAUUAAAAUUCAAGCUGUGGCUUCUAAACCAGAUGGGUUAGCAAAAAUAUCUACAUAGCUCAUGAAGGAAAAUAGCCUAUUUGCAUUAAGAAAAAAAAAUCUAGAGUUUAGACAACAUUCUGUAAAGCAAAAAUAUCUUGAUUAUAAUCAUGAACAUUUUACCUUAAAGAAACACAAACCCUAUUUAUUUUCAUAUAAAUGUAUACUUUUGAAUUGAGUAUAAUUUUAUCAGAUUGAAAAAUUAUUUACCUUGCGAGAAAUAGGAAACAAAAAUGUAAAAGGCUUUUUUACUUUUUCAAUAUUAAUUUUAAUGGUCUAAAUUAAAUGACUCUGACUUGUGCAAAUUAAAACUAAACCAAAUGGGUAAUGAGUAUCAUGCUUUAUCAAUGUGAAUAUUCUUAAUGUAAUGAAAGAACUAUAAAAGCAAGAUGCUUUUUAUUCAGUGUGCUCAUCAAUCAUUACCUUAUACUCAGUGAUGGCAUGCAUAUUUGUAGGAAAAUUUUGAAAAAAGAGAUUGACAAUUUUUGGAAAACAAGAUAAGGAUAACUGGGAAAUGGGAAUUUUCCUUCAUAUUUUUAGCAAGAAACCUACAUUUGUUAUUUUUAUUUUGUUAAUAUGAAAAAAUAUGUGAAAUUUUUACAAACAAUUCUAUUAUAUUGAAGCUUUAAAGAAGUUUCUCUGAAACAAGCUCAGCAACAAGAUCCACUCUGAGCCUCUUUUUCAUGCUUUUAAAGAUAAAACAUAUAUAAAUGUAAUUUUUAAACAUAUUUUAAUGAGGCGAUUUCAAUGAUAUGAAUAAGCAAAUAAAAUUAACAUUUUAAGCUGUGCCUAGCAUAUCCCCCAUUUAAUUUGUUUUGGGUAUUAAGUCACAGUUUAAUCAAUAAUGCAAUAAUUUGGAUAUGAUUUUAACAGCUAAAUGGAAUGCUUAACUUUUGUCUCUUCAAUAUAGAUUUUGCCUAUACAUGGAAAUAUCUCUGCUUUUCCCCACACGAAAUAAAUCCCAAUAAGAUACAAAGCAUAUAUAAGAUAAGUUUAAGUGAUAAUGAGAUAGGAAUAAUAUAAGUUGGUUGCAGGAGAAUAGAAAAUUCCAGGCAGCAGUUUCAUGUAACUAGUGAAAGGAAACUGUUGAAAUAGUCAUAGAAGCUAGGAGCUGAUGAGACCCUGAAAAACCAGGGUAUGGCCCAAGCUGGCUAAGACUGACUGGACCCAACAUGGCAUGGAUUUGACCUAGGUUUCAUCUAGGACGUCAUUAUAUGCUCAUUAACAUAUUAAAUCACACAUUCACUAGCACCAUGACAGUUCCAGGCACACCCAUAUUUGGUGUAAAAAUGGGUGGCACCACAAUUCCAAGACACCUCUACCUUUUUCCAGGAACCUUCGUGAAUAUUCCACCCCUUGGUUAAAAAAACCCAUAAAAGUAGAAACCCCAAACUCCACUGUGCAACUCUCUCGAGUACACCCGCCCUCUCGUUUCUUGAAUGUGUACUUUUCACUUUACAAUCUCUGUACUUUCAGUAUUUGCCAACCCAUCCUUUAAUUCAUUUUCGAGAUGGUGACAAGAGCCUGGACACUGGCUGGGGUGGGGUCCCCCUGACAUUCAAGGACUUCCCCCAGCCAACUGGUAUCAAUAACAGGUUAUUGCUAUAUUAAUAAUUAUUUGUCAACUACUUUCAGCUAGGCAUUGCUCUGGGCACUGGGAAUAAAAUAGUAAAUGAGAGCGAUCAACUCCUCUCCUUCAUGAAGCUUAUAGUCAAGCCUCCACUCUGAUUCCCACUUGCCCUUUACACUAUGAAAGCUCUUUUAAUGAUUUUUUAUUUUUUAAACUGAGUCCUCCAGAAGAAAAUUUGCAAUAUAGAAAAAAAUAUAUUUAUUUUAAGGGUAACAUAAUUGCUAUUUGUAAACUGUUUUACUUCAUGCAAAUUAAUUUUGUCAUUUUUCCCAUUCACAAUUAGGGAAAUUAUUUAUCUUUGUUUGGGUGGGGACUAGAAUUACUUGCAUAAUACUUUGUUUUUGCAUAACUUCAUUUGGCCACAAGGGCAAAUGAUUUUUAUAUACAAGAAGCAUAAACCACACAACAGUUCAAAUGCUAAAUGAAUACAAAAAUAAAAAUAUACCCAAAACUCAAGUGUGAACUAUGCAUGAUAUGGUCAAUUUCACGUCUUGAGUUUCUAUAUUCUAAUUUUAAAAAUGUAGGAAUAUCUCCUUCAUUCAAAAACUGCAGUAGGCCAUUCAAUUGAAUGAAAAGAAGAUACCCGUAAUCAACUUACCUAUUAAUAAGAGCUGUCAGUCUAAACAUUUUAAGGAAAAGGGGCAAUGAAGAUAAAACACAUAUAUAUUAAGUGUACUAUUUUUGGUUUGGGAAACUGUAAUUUUUGUGGAAUAGUUAAAGUGUGUAUCUGUUAUUUUAUAUCCAAUAAGGAAAAACAUGAUCACCAUCUGAAACCAUUUUAGUGUAUUUUUUAAGAAAACAUGCUUUUUACCCAAUUAUUUACUGAAAUAGGCAUAUAAUGAAAAUGGAAAGAGACACAUGGGAACUUACAUCUUAAACACUGGCAAGUUUUCUACAUUCCUACAUUAAUAAAAGAACUACCCAUUUGUGUGAGUGUAGGCCUACUCUUGGUCUGUGAAUUCAUUACCAUCUCCAGCUGUUACCGUUAAGAAAAAAGUCCCCAAAUUUGUCUUUUUACACAAACAAUUAAAAAUAAUGAUAUUCUUGUUUCUUUUUCCUUUUACUGACCUUUUAAGUUCUUCAUAGGUCCUUUCUUAUCCUUUGUCUCCUCUCCCCUUAUAGUGCUGUGACAUCACCAGGUAAUACACACACUUGUGUCCAUUGCCGUCUACAUAUCUCACCUCCCAUUUCCCUAAAUUUCACACAUCAAAAACUAUCUGGUAAGUCUUUCAUUCUCUAUGAGUCUUUAAAAUGACUGAUAUGUUAAUGUCUUACACAUUUAAAAGAAAGUGUCCUACAGAGCUUUAGAGCAGGCUAUGAAUUAUGUUCAUUGUCUGGAAUCCACACAGUCUCUCAUCUUCCCUGAAAUUAUUGCAGCAGCAGUAGAGGCGAGAGUAAUGUUUUAAUUUUGAAGUGAUCUUCCAAUCCUUAGAAACAAAACUGAACUAUCAGAGACUAAAUUUUGAGUUCCAUAUACCCUGUCCUGCAUUUUUGGUUGUGGAUCAGAAGAGAGUAACAAAGAGGAAGGAUUAAAAACAAAUACAAUAAAUUUUUUAUUGUGCCUGGAACAAUUGUGCUAAUGACUUUUGUCUUCCCGGUUUCCAUUUGUCUUGAGUUUUAAAAAAAUCAAUAUAAUGAGAGUGUAUUUGCAUAUGUAGAAGGCCCUGUCUGUUGAAAAUGGUUCAGAAAAGAAGAUAAUGUAAAUUGUCCUGAUGUUCCCCCCCUUCCUACGUCUUUCAAUUAAUCGUAUGUAUUCACGUACAUAAAAUUUUAAAAGUAUGAAAUUUGCAUUUCAAUAAAAUACCUUAAAUUGGUCUUACUACAGAGUCAAUGAAAAAAAUUUAAAUCAUCCAAUAUAUUAUUAUAAUAGGAAACUUCCCAUGGGAGAGGGUGAUCAUAAAGUUGAGAACAAUUAGGAUUAAUUGAAUUACUGAGCAAUAAAAGCAGACACAGGACUAUCUGAGCAACAUACAAAAGAGUAGCAAUAUGCCCUUCUAAGAGAAGGCCUUGGCAUCCAGAAACAGAAGACUGAACUAAAAGCAUACAAGCUCACAAAUUUUUAAGAGGGAAAGGAAAUACUCUUUUGAUAGAUUCAAGUGAGCUGUGAAGAUCACCAAGAUAAUUGAAGUGUUUUUGAAAAUUAUGUUGCUCUCAUUGGUAGUGUCUCAGAGCCAGUAUACAACACUAAAAGAUUAUAUCCAAACAGUCCCAAUAUUUCCUCAGCCCCAAUUCUUCUUCAUGUUAUUGAUAUUCACUGCAUUCAUAUUAAUCAUGCAUAGGUUUCCAUGGGACAAAUCGUUGCUAUCCCGCUUCAAAUUUUAAAUAACCCAUUUGAUGUCAUUAAUUUGUAGAGAGAAGUUAUAAAAUGUUAUCCAUUUAUAUAUAAAUAAACUUUCUGGUAAGCUUAGAACAAAAAAGGAUAUGUCCUUACAUUUCACAAAGUAGGUUCAUUACUUCCAAUAUAAAACUGUGUUCAAGAAAAUGAAGACAACAUUCAAACACCAGGAAAUGUGUGGGCUGGAAAUAUGAUGAGCACAGUUUUGAACGAUUUGCUGGACACUUUCUUGUUUACCUUAUCUACUGCAAUGUAAUCAGAACUAGUAGUCAAGAAAAUGUGAAUUAUAAAGCCCUUCUCACAAUUAAAACAAACAAAAUAUUUAGACAAAAAUGAAGAAAAUGAUGGCUGCCAAACCAUUUGCCUUACAGACAUGUGUACAAAUUGAUCAUUUUCCUGUCUAGCUAUUUUGGUUGUAUAGAAUAAGGACAAAUAAAUGAUAGUUAACAAUAUUUAGUAUUUGUUAUUUUAGACAUGUUAGAUCUUAUGAAAUACCUUAUGUUUUAGUCUGAAGGGAAACAUUUACAUUUUAGGAAAAAAUUUAUAGCUAAACAGAAUUAAAAAUAUUUUUUUCUAAUAGGAACUUGGGUAAAAUAUGGAGUCAAAAAGCUGUGAGUAAAAACUUAGAAUACUAAGCAGAUUAGCAAGAAGGCAUAGUGAAAAGAAAAUGUGAAUAAGUGAAUGAUAAAAGAAGGCGGAAUUAAUAGCAAAUGCCUAUGUAGUGCUCACUAUAUGUCAGGGAAGGCUACCAGGGUGCACGCGCACGUGUGUGUUUGUAUGUGUGUGUGAGUGUGUGAGUGUGCGCGUGUGCAUUCCUAAUAGGAAACUUACUAUUCUCAUUUGCAUCUAAGGAAAUCAAAGUAGAGAGAUAGUCACUAACUAUCUGCUCAUUGAUGUAGAGUUGGAAUCAAAUCCAGGAAGCUGACUCCUGUGUAUGUGGUUUUAUUCACUAUAAUACACUGCCCUUUAAGUAAUGCUAUUAGAGAGGAUUUAUAAAAGAGAAUUUAGAAAAGCCAAGGAAACAGAAAAAUAUGAAAAACUCAAAUGUGACUUUGGGAUUCAUUUUUGAGACAAGAAAAGUAGUUAAUAUCCCUCACCAUAAGGCAAUGCUAAUGUUGUAUCAGUAUCAAAGAAAGGACAGGAGAAUUUUCCUUUCUCUUUGAAAUUCAAUUUAUGAUGUCCAAUGCUGUAAAUAUCCAGCAGCAAUAGCUGUGCUCUAUAAAUAUUUAAUACAAAUGAAGUCAUAAGUAUAACUCAGACUAAAUGCUAAUUAAAAAAUAUAAAGAAGUUUGGUAGUUAUUUCCCCCCCACCCCCAAACUACCAGAUGGUGUUUAAUAGGUAUAUGUGACUAUAUUUAAGAAUGGCAUAAUUUAAAUAAUAAUUCAAAAGUAAUUUGUCAGUUAUAGUAAGCAGCGUUCUAUUUACUAUAGUAUAGAAUAGUAUAGUAUAGUAUAGAAUCUAUAGUAAAGAUUCUAUGACUUUUAUCACAGUCCGUUUACUAGAUAGCUCUCCUUUAAUUUUCUACUUUACUACCAAGGUUCUUGCCUCUGGUUUACUAAUUCUAAACUAUUAAAUUUUGCUGUUAUGGCCUUGAGAAAACAUAAUAUAUAAACCACAGAGAGCUUUAAGGAAGCUAGACUUAACUACAAGCAACCUAAAAGGGCUCCAAUCAUCUUAAUAAUUAUUAUUUAACUAACGUAAAAUAAUAAUCCCAAAGAUAGAAAAUCAUCUCACAAAAUAAUCUUAAGUUGAAGACAUAGGAAUACAUGUAAUCAGUUAAACAUCCAAAAGAUGUUAACUAAUAUCAAUAACAUGCCACACAGGUUCAACAUAAUUGGGCUGAGAUUAACCAAGUGUAAUUGUUUUAGUUAUUGGUUAUCCCUGUUCUAUCAGUUGUUAAGAAGUAUUUAUAUAUGUUUAUGCGUGUGUGCAUAUGGGUGUAUUUUAUGGAUUUCUGAAUUUUUAAAAUCAAUUUUAUCUUUAGCUGAGCUUCUUGAACCAUAAACAUACCAUGUUAGUUCACUAAAUUAGUAACAGCUUAUAUAUAAAUUCGAAUUAAUGUCUACCAAGUUGAUUGAGUACACACUGAAUUCUUUUUUUCUUUUCUUUUUUUUUUUUGAGAUGGAGUUUUGCUCUUGUUGCCCAGGCUGGAGUGCAACGGUGCAAUCUCGGCUCACGGCAACCUCCGCCUCCUGGGUUCAAGAGAUUCUGCUGCCUCAGCCUCCUGAGUAGCUGGAAUUACAGGCAUAUGACACCAAGCCCAGCUAACUUUGUAUUUUUAGUAGAGACGGGGUUUCUACAUGUUGGUCAGGCUGGUCUCGAACUUCCGACCUCAGGUGAUCCACCUGCCUUGGCCUCCCAAAGCACUGGGAUUACAGGUGUGAGCCACCAUGCCCAUACCACAAUGAAUUUCAAUGAGUAAGACUUUAUGUAUAACACAGUUUUGUUUUUCAAAAGUAAAUAAUUUGAUAGCUUUUCUUUAUUAUUUCUUUAGUUGAAAUAAUAGGUUGAAUUUGGUUUUCUGAGGCUUCUACCUGUAUUAUAACUAAAAUAAUGCAAAUUCUUAUUGAAAAAUAGGAUAUAAUUUUUUUAAUCUUUCAAAAACUUUGUUUGGAUUUUUGUUGAUAUAUAGUGGGUGUAUAUAUUUAUGGAGUACAUGAGAUGUUUUGAUACAGGCAUGCAAUGCUUAAUAAUCGCGUAAUGGAAAAUGGGAUAUCCAUCCCCUCAAGCAUUUAUCCUUUGUGUUACAAACAAUCCAAUUAUAGUUUUUUUAUUUUAAAAUGUACAAUUAAAUUAUUAUUGUCUAUAGUCACUCUGUUGUGCUAUAAAAUACUAGGCGUUAUUGUUUGUAACUAUGUUUUGUACUCAAUAACCACUCUCACACCUCUCCCCACACUGCCUCACUUCCCUUCCCAGCCUCUGGUUACCAUCCUUCUACUCUCUUACUCCAUGAAUUCAGUUGUUUUGAUUUUUAGAUUCCACAAAUAAAUGAGAACAUGCAAUACUGAAUAGUACUCCAUUGUGUAUGAGUACAACUUUAUUCAUUCAUCUGUUGAUGGACACAGGUUGCGUCCAAAUUUUGGCUAUUUUGAACGGUGCUUCAACAAACAUGGGAGUGCUGUGCAGAAGGUUUUUUUUUUUUUUUUUUUUUUUUUUUUGAGACGGAGUCUCAGUUUGUCACCCAGGCUGGAGUGCAGUGGCACAACCUCUUCUCUCGGCUCACUGCAAGCUCCACCUCCCGGGAUCACGCCGUUCUCCUGCCUCAGCCUCCCCAGAAGAUUUUUAACUUGAUGUGAUCCCAUUUGCUCACUUUUGCUAUGGUUGCCUGUGCUUGUAGGGUAGUGCUCAAGAAACUUUUGACCAGACUAAUUUGUGAGAGAGAUUCCCUGAUGUUUUCUUGUGGUAGUUUCAUAGUUUGAGGUCUUAGAUUUAAGUCUUUGGUCGAUUUUGGAUUGAUUUUUGCAUAUGGCUAUUUUGUAUAUAUCUUCAUUUUUCUUCAUAUGGAUAUUCGGUUUUCCCAGCACCAUUAUUGAAGAGACUGUCUUUCCACCAGUAUACGUUCUUGGAACAUUUGUUGAAAAUGAAUUUGAGGUAAAUGUGUGGAUUUGUUUCUGGGUUCUCUAUUCUGUUUCAUUGGUCUGUGUAUCUGUUUUUAUGCCAGUACCAUGCUGUUUUGGCUCCUAUAGCUCUGUAGUAUAAUUUGAAGUCAGGUAAAGUGAUUCCUCUCAUUUUAUUUUUUGCUUAGGAUAACUUUGACUAUUCUGGGUCUUGUGUUGUUCCAUAUACAUAGAAGGAUUGUUAUUUUUUAUUUCUGUGAAGAAUGUCAUUGGUAUUUUUAUAGGGAUUUCAUUGAAUGUGUAGAUUGCUUUGGGUAGUAUAGAUAUUUUAACAAUAUUGAUUCUUCUAAUCCAUGAACAUUGAAUAUCUUUUCAUUUUUUUUGAUGUCCUCUUCAAUUUCUUUUAUUAUUGUUUGAUAGUUUUUAUUAUAGAGACCUUUGCAUUUUUGGUAUUUAAUUCUUAGUAAUUCUUAGGUAUUUACUUUUAUUUGUGGCUAUUUUAAAUGGGAUUACAUUGUUAUUUCUUUUUCAGACUGUCUGCUGUAGCAUAAAGAAAUGCUACUGCUUUUCAUAUGUUGAUAUUAUAUCCUGCAACUUUACUGAAUUAGUUUAUCAGUUCUAAAAGGGUUUUAUGUGUGAAGCUUUUAGGCUUUUGUAAAUAUAAGAUCAUAUCAUCUACAAACAAGAAUAUUUUUACUUCUGUCUUUCCAAUUUGGAUACAUUUUAUUUCUUUCUCUUGCCUGACUGCUCUAGCUAGGGCUUCCAGUGCUAUGUUGAAUAACAGUAGUGAAUGUGGGAACCCUUGUCAUGUUCCAGAACUUAGUGGAAAGAUUUUCAGUUUUUUGCCAUUUAGUAUGAUCCUAGCUGUGGUCUGUCAUAUAUGACUUUUAUUAUGUUGAGGAGAUAUGUUCCUUCUAUAAUGUUGUUGUCGGCUUCUUAUUAUAGGGGAAUAUUGAUUUUUAUCAAAUACUUUUCAGAAUCAAUUGAAAUGAUCAAAUGGGCUUUGUCCUUCAUUCUGCUCAUAUGAUAUAUCACAUUGUUUGAUGUGCAUAUGUUGAACCAUCCUUGCAUUCCAUGAAUAAAUCACACUUGGUCAUGAUGAAUGAUCUUUUUAAUGUAUUGCCAUAUUCAGUUUGCUAGUAUUUGUUGAGGAUUUUUGCAUCAAUAUUCAUCAGAGAUACUGGCCUAUAAUUUCCUUUUUUGAAUGUGUCUUCAUCUGGUUUUGAUAUCAGGGUAUUACUGGCCUUGUAGAAGGAGUAUGAAAGUACUCCAUACUCCUCUGCUUUUUGGAAUAGUUUAAGUAAAAUUGGUAUUACUUCUUCCUAAAAUGUUUCACAGACUUCAGCUGUGAAGCCAUCAAGUGCUUGGCUUUUCAUGACUAAGAGGAUUUUGUUUUGUUUUGUUUUGUUUUGUUUUUUUGAGACGGAGUCUUGCUCUGUUGCCCAGGCUGGAGUGCAGUGGCAUGAUCUUGGCUCACUGCAACCUCUGACUCCCUGGUUCAAGUGAUUCUCCUGCCUCAGCAUCCUGAGUAGCUGGGAUUACAGGCAUGCACCACCACACACAGCUAAUUUUUGUAUUUUUAGUAGAGAUGGGGUUUCACCAUGUUGGUCAGUAUGGUCUUGAUCUUCUGACCUCAUGAUCCACCUGCCUUGGAGUUCCAAAGUGCUGGGAUUACAG
This 24166-nucleotide long non-coding RNA is filed under the name Homo sapiens (human). Its description in RNAcentral is "non-protein coding lnc-ICA1-3:5". Lineage: Eukaryota; Metazoa; Chordata; Mammalia; Primates; Hominidae. The record is from RNAcentral.